Felis catus (domestic cat) is the source of this 894-nucleotide long non-coding RNA. RefSeq lists it as uncharacterized. NCBI's taxonomy places the organism in Eukaryota, Metazoa, Chordata, Mammalia, Carnivora, Felidae. The record is from RefSeq and is a predicted model, not a curated record. The transcript is spliced from 3 exons.
AGAUGGUUCGCUGCACCUUGACCGGGCGGCCGUCCCGCGUCAGCACAAAGGCACACUUCUUUCCAGGAGGUGCCACUCGGGCAUAACGCAGCAAAAAUUCGCCACCUGGUGGUUGAGAAGUCGGCCUGCUAGAACUCAGGAAGCCAGACGGAGCUGGUCGCUGUCCCGUGACUGUCAUUCAGCUGACCCAGCGGCGCCCCACCCGACCCCUCCUCCGGGAGGUGCCGCAGAGCCUGGGGGCGGGGCUUGGCGGUCGCACGACUCCGCCCCCCGUGCUCCGGCACCGCCCCCACGCUGGCCCGGCCCAGACCCCUCGGGCCCCGGAGUCGGAAAGGAGGCGGGCAGUGGCCGCUGCUGGGCGCCCUGGGCUCAAGAUCCUCCUGGGGAGAAAUGCUGGCCCUUGGGUCCCCGGCAAGAGUGACGGGAUGCGGCACAGCCCCUCCUGGCUGGUUGGCGGGAAGUACCAACCCCGCCCGUUUAACCCCGGCACACCACCCACCCUGGCAAUUGCGCCAGCAGCGGGGCUGCGAGGAGCUACUUCGAGAGAGUUCCGUUCCUUCUCUUUCCGGGGCCUGGCCCACGUGCAGGAUGGAGCCCGGGCAGGAGAGGAUCGGCUCCAGCGGCACCUGCUGGGCCUUUGACACGGGAACCACCCCGCAGGCGAUACCCGUGCGUCCCGGGGAGCGGACACCGCGAGAGAACCCAGCUCAGUCCUCCCCAGCCAUUCACAGAGGCCCGUGGCCGAUGACCCGCUCUCUAGACAGGGAGUCGGGAGCGGCUGCCCAGGGCACUCCUCCCCUGUGUUCUAAACCCCGGCUACCGUGGGACCUUCUGCGGGCAACCAGGCCCUGGCCCAGCUCAGUCCCAAGGGCCAGGGGCCUUGGCAGACCCUUG